RNAcentral lists this ribosomal RNA (406 nucleotides) under uncultured Acidimicrobiia bacterium. RNAcentral's name for it is "bacterial SSU rRNA". It matches the Rfam family "Bacterial small subunit ribosomal RNA", at positions 355 to 776 of the family's 1533-position model. Lineage: Bacteria; Bacillati; Actinomycetota; Acidimicrobiia. The record is from RNAcentral.
UGGGGAAUCUUGCGCAAUGGGCGAAAGCCUGACGCAGCAACGCCGCGUGGAGGAUGACGGCCUUCUGGGUUGUAAACUCCUUUCGACAGGGACGAAAUUGACGGUACCUGUGGAAGAAGCCCCGGCCAACUACGUGCCAGCAGCCGCGGUAAUACGUAGGGGGCGAGCGUUGUCCGGAAUUAUUGGGCGUAAAGAGCUCGUAGGCGGCUCGAUAAGUUGGGUGUGAAAACUCCAGGCUCAACCUGGAGACGCCACCCAAGACUGUCGUGGCUAGAGUCCGGUAGGGGGUCACGGAAUUCCUGGUGUAGCGGUGAAAUGCGCAGAUAUCAGGAGGAACACCGGUGGCGAAGGCGGUGGCCUGGGCCGGAACUGACGCUGAGGAGCGAAAGCGUGGGUAGCAAACAGG